Molecule: ribosomal RNA, 388 nt
Filed under: uncultured bacterium
Lineage: Bacteria
Description: bacterial SSU rRNA
Rfam family: Bacterial small subunit ribosomal RNA
Source: RNAcentral
AUUGAACGCUGGCGGCAUGCUUUACACAUGCAAGUCGAGCGGCAGCGCAGGGGCAACCCUGGCGGCGAGCGGCGAACGGGUGAGUAAUGCAUCGGAACGUACCCUGGAGUGGGGGAUAACGCCGCGAAAGCGGCGCUAAUACCGCAUAUGCUCUGAGGAGGAAAGUGGGGGACCGCAAGGCCUCACGCUCUGGGAGCGGCCGAUGUCCGAUUAGCUAGUUGGUGAGGUAAAGGCUUACCAAGGCGACGAUCGGUAGCUGGUCUGAGAGGAUGAUCAGCCACACUGGGACUGAGACACGGCCCAGACUCCUACGGGAGGCAGCAGUGGGGAAUUUUGGACAAAUGGGGGGCAACCCUGAUCCAGCCAUGCCGCGUGAGUGAAGAAGGCC